GAUCAUGGCUCAGAUUGAACGCUGGCGGCAUGCCUUACACAUGCAAGUCGAACGGCAGCACGGGUGCUUGCACCUGGUGGCGAGUGGCGAACGGGUGAGUAAUAUAUCGGAACGUACCUUAUCGUGGGGGAUAACGCAGCGAAAGCUGCGCUAAUACCGCAUACGCCCUGAGGGGGAAAGCGGGGGACCGUAAGGCCUCGCGCGAUUAGAGCGGCCGAUAUCUGAUUAGCUUGUUGGUAAGGUAAGAGCUUACCAAGGCGACGAUCAGUAUCUGGUUUGAGAGGACGAUCAGACACACUGGAACUGAGACACGGUCCAGACUCCUACGGGAGGCAGCAGUGGGGAAUUUUCCGCAAUGGGCGAAAGCCUGACGGAGCAAUACCGCGUGAGGGAAGAAUGCCUAUGGGUUGUAAACCUCUUUUUCAGGGAGGAAUCAAAUGACGUGUACCUGAAGAAUAAGCAUCGGCUAACUCCGUG
Molecule: ribosomal RNA, 477 nt
Filed under: uncultured bacterium
Lineage: Bacteria
Description: bacterial SSU rRNA
Rfam family: Bacterial small subunit ribosomal RNA
Source: RNAcentral